Molecule: ribosomal RNA, 445 nt
Filed under: uncultured Tulasnellaceae
Lineage: Eukaryota; Fungi; Basidiomycota; Agaricomycetes; Cantharellales; Tulasnellaceae
Description: LSU rRNA
Rfam family: Bacterial large subunit ribosomal RNA
Source: RNAcentral
GGAGAGAAUAGUAAGGCGAAGAGAUAAUACUUCGUAAUGACUCGGCAGUUUGGUUUCAUUAGUGUGACGAUAUGAAGAACCAUUUAAUUCCUAGUUCCGGUUUAUUGUCUUGCGGGAUGAUAAGGUGGUUAGAAAUGUUUGCUUUAAAGUGAGAAAAAGGGUGGCACAGAAUCGGAGGCCUCGACUGUUUACUUAAAACACACACAUUUGCACGGCGUUAUUUUUUUGUAUAGGGGUGGAGUUUUGCCCGAUACCAUAAAUAUAUAAUUCAUAGGCGCUCGGGGGCUUUCUUUUAUUUAAAUCUGGGCCAAGGGGGUGUUACCCUAAGGGUCCUAAGGUAGCGAAAAUCCUUGUCGGGUAAGUUCCGACCCGCACGAAAGAAGUAACGAUGUUCGCACUGUCUCGGACAGAGAUCUCGAGUUAAAAAGACAUGUCGGGGAGAUGC